This 507-nucleotide ribosomal RNA is filed under the name uncultured bacterium. RNAcentral describes it as "bacterial SSU rRNA". It matches the Rfam family "Bacterial small subunit ribosomal RNA", at positions 9 to 511 of the family's 1533-position model. The record is from RNAcentral.
GAGUUUGAUCAUGGCUCAGAUUGAACGCUGGCGGCAGGCCUAACACAUGCAAGUCGAGCGGUAGAGAGAAGCUUGCUUCUCUUGAGAGCGGCGGACGGGUGAGUAAUGCCUAGGAAUCUGCCUGGUAGUGGGGGAUAACGCUCGGAAACGGACGCUAAUACCGCAUACGUCCUACGGGAGAAAGCAGGGGACCUUCGGGCCUUGCGCUAUCAGAUGAGCCUAGGUCGGAUUAGCUAGUUGGUGAGGUAAUGGCUCACCAAGGCGACGAUCCGUAGCUGGUCUGAGAGGAUGAUCAGUCACACUGGAACUGAGACACGGUCCAGACUCCUACGGGAGGCAGCAGUGGGGAAUAUUGGACAAUGGGCGAAAGCCUGAUCCAGCCAUGCCGCGUGUGUGAAGAAGGUCUUCGGAUUGUAAAGCACUUUAAGUUGGGAGGAAGGGCAGUAAAUUAAUACUUUGCUGUUUUGACGUUACCGACAGAAUAAGCACCGGCUAACUCUGUGCCAG